AAAGGCUGCUCUCACGCGAAUACUGCGUAUGAGCCCAGGCUUUCGGCGAACGAGCUUCACGUGACCAGCUCUACUGUGGACCAAUAUUUCGAUGGCUAGGUUCACCACCACAUUUUUCUGAAAAUUUCUCUUCAGCAAGACGGCCAUUAUAACGAUGUUUAAGUGUCUCGCGUCUUCAGCCUUACCGCAACAUUACAAUAACAAAGAGGUGUUCAUACGUUGCAGUGGUUCUUUACAUCUUAUAUUUUGUCCUUCGUCAUUGGCAUACCCCAAGCUGUUUCGCCACUUCCGCCGGAACCGGUUACUGGGCGUGACGCAUCACGACGAAAUGUAGAAAAUAAAUUGCAUUUUAAACUACUUAG
This 362-nucleotide long non-coding RNA is filed under the name Rhipicephalus microplus (southern cattle tick). Its description in RNAcentral is "uncharacterized LOC119176075, transcript variant X1". The record is from RNAcentral. Lineage: Eukaryota; Metazoa; Arthropoda; Arachnida; Ixodida; Ixodidae.